ACACUCCUACGGGAGGCAGCAGUGGGGAAUAUUGGACAAUGGGCGCAAGCCUGAUCCAGCCAUGCCGCGUGAGUGAUGAAGGCCCUAGGGUUGUAAAGCUCUUUCACCGGUGAAGAUAAUGACGGUAACCGGAGAAGAAGCCCCGACUAACUUCGUGCCAGCAGCCGCGGUAAUACGAAGGGGGCUAGCGUUGUUCGGAUUUACUGGGCAUAAAGCGCACGUAGGCGGACUAUUAAGUCAGGGGUGAAAUCCCGGGGCUCAACCCCGGAACUGCCUUUGAUACUGGUAGUCUUGAGUUCGAGAGAGGUGAGUGGAAUUCCGAGUGGAGAGGUGAAAUUCGUAGAUAUUCGGAGGAACACCAGUGGCGAAGGCGGCUCACUGGCUCGAUACUGACGCUGAGGUGCGAAAGCGUGGGGAGCAAACAGGAUUAGAAACCCCUGUAGUCCC
Molecule: ribosomal RNA, 447 nt
Filed under: uncultured organism
Description: partial 16S ribosomal RNA
Rfam family: Bacterial small subunit ribosomal RNA
Source: RNAcentral